This 1089-nucleotide long non-coding RNA is filed under the name Notechis scutatus (mainland tiger snake). RNAcentral's name for it is "lncRNA (ENSNSUG00000001627.1)". Lineage: Eukaryota; Metazoa; Chordata; Lepidosauria; Squamata; Elapidae. The record is from RNAcentral.
CUCAGGCAAAAGCUGCUUACCUACAAUUCAGCUUACCAUAAUCUCCUCCAGGACAGGGCAGAUGGCUGAAUUGGUGUCAUGUUGCAUAUGAAGUUUCGCUAUUAAUAUAGCUCUCAAUUCAUAUAUUAUGCAGCGUACAUAUAACUGCAGGCAUGCAGGCAUGCAGUUAAACCACAGGCUGAAAACACCUUCCACCGCUCUAAUGUAGGAUGACAGUACAUUAUCCUUCCAUCACACUUCUGUGGCUUUUCUUAGGCUGGAAAUCUCACACGUGACAUAAACAGUAUUAAAAUCCCAAGGAGAUUUCCCUCCGUGAAAAUCUGAAACAGCCCUUUUAGCAAGAACCCUGGCAUCCUACCAUUUUAACCUACUACCCACAUCGCAAUUUCACACACGACCUCCUCCCACCUGGCCUCAGCCUCUCCCCCCUUCUCCGCAACCAACCAACACACACACACACACAGCUUUCUAUCAGCAUCAAGGCGCGGGGGCCAAGCGCGAUUCUGCCCACCCUUCCGCGCCAUCCACCCGCGGCUCCCUCCAUCCUCAGCGGCGGGCAUCUUGCAAAGAAGACCAAGCCAGCUCCAAGUCCCCCAUCCUCUUUUUCAAAAGAUCUCCCUGUGUCGGGACGGGCGACCCCGAAAGCCAACCUUUCCCCGCGACUGCCCGGCUUGCUCUUCUCCCAUCCUCCCCGCCCUGAUCCUCCCUCUUCCAGACGAGGAGGCUCGCCAGCUCUCUUCUCUCUCUCUCCAGCCAUUCCGCUCCCCGGCUCGACACUUCCCCACAGGAUCACCUGCCCUUUUUUUUUUUUUUUAACGUUACGACUCAGGAUCGCGACGGUGCCCGGGCGGCGGCGGCGGGUGCCUUUAAGUUUCUUCCCAGCACUGUUCUUCCCGGCUGCGGGCAAUUGUGUCCCCCGCGCUCCCAGGGAAAGAGGCCUUCGAGGGCUGCCUCUUUCCCGAGCAACUCCCGGCAAGCUCGCUCCAAUCCCCGCCGCUGCUUCUUUGAUUUAUUUAUUUUCCCCCCCUCACCCUUUCCAAGCUGGCCCUUCGCCCCGCGCGCUGCUUCUUCCCCGGCCGCCCGACCCAC